Molecule: ribosomal RNA, 499 nt
Filed under: uncultured bacterium
Lineage: Bacteria
Description: SSU rRNA
Rfam family: Bacterial small subunit ribosomal RNA
Source: RNAcentral
AGAGCGAACGCUGGCGGCGUGCUUAACACAUGCAAGUCGAACGCGCAGCAUUCUGUAGCAAUACAGGGUGUGGGCGCGUGGCGAACGGGUGCGUAACACGUGGAUAACCUUCCUUCAGGUGGGGAAUAACCCAGUGAAAAUUGGGCUAAUACCGCAUAACAAAACGAUGAGACAUCUUGUUGUUUUCAAAGGCGCAAGUCGCCAGAAGAGGGAUCCGCGGCCGAUUAGCUUGUUGGCGAGGUAAUGGCUCACCAAGGCAAUGAUCGGUAGCCGGACUGAGAGGUUGGCCGGCCACACUGGAACUGAGACACGGUCCAGACUCCUACGGGAGGCAGCAGUGGGGAAUCUUGCACAAUGGGCGAAAGCCUGAUGCAGCAACGCCGCGUGGGGGAUGAAGCUUCUCGGAGUGUAAACCCCUUUCGACCCGGAAGAAGCCCGCAAGGGUUUGACGGUACGGGUAUAAGAAGCCCCGGCUAACUACGCGCCAGCAGCCGCGUAA